AACCAUACAAGCGUAAACAACCUCUAACAUUAUGAGUUGAAAUCGUGAUCACACAUUUAAAACAUGUUUUACUCCAAAUGGUUAAAUUGAAAUUUCAGAAUAUCUAUACGCUUAUCAAUUCUUCAUGAAUCGAUUUUUAAUAUCGCACAGCUGUAAAACUUAUUUUUGUUAACAAUUCAUUUAAAUCAACUAAAUUUUUUACUUAACAUUUAAAUUGUCCCUGCAAAGGAUAUAUGUAUCCUUUCGCCACAAAUAAAUGUUGAUGACCUGAUUGUCAGUAUUAUAACCUUAAAAAGAAUUUUAGUUCGAUAGAAUUUGUGUUUUUGAUCCGGCUUAGUUUUGUCUUGCAAUUACAUCACUGCAGCUAUCAAUUAAUUCAAUCAAACCAUAUAUAACAAAAUAUAACAGAAUGUUUUUUUCCCACACAAACAUUGUAUAAUUUAGCGCAUCUGCUUACGUUUAGUUAGUCAUAUGCCUUCAGCAUGCCGAAAAAAUAAAAGAAACUAUUUAUCUGAGAGAAAUGAAUCAGGAGGUUUCUGCACCUAAGGAGGAAUUUUAUUCACCUCCAGUGACCUAUCUAGCUGGAGCACCUACGGGGUAUCUAUAUCCUGAAUGUGCAGACGAUGG
Eurytemora carolleeae is the source of this 627-nucleotide long non-coding RNA. RefSeq lists it as uncharacterized. Lineage: Eukaryota; Metazoa; Arthropoda; Copepoda; Calanoida; Temoridae. The record is from RefSeq and is a predicted model, not a curated record. The transcript has 3 exons.